Amblyraja radiata (thorny skate) is the source of this 146-nucleotide long non-coding RNA. RefSeq lists it as uncharacterized. NCBI's taxonomy places the organism in Eukaryota, Metazoa, Chordata, Chondrichthyes, Rajiformes, Rajidae. The record is from RefSeq and is a predicted model, not a curated record. The transcript is spliced from 3 exons.
UGUACGGAGUUUGAACGGCGGGCUUGAGGCCCACGACCGGGGAAGAACUAAGGGAAGGACUUGAACUUUAUUUCGCCUUCCAUCACAGUGUGGAAUGGGUAGAAGUCACUGUGGUGGAUGUUUAUGUUAAAAUGUGUUUUUGAGUG